Molecule: ribosomal RNA, 409 nt
Filed under: uncultured bacterium
Lineage: Bacteria
Description: bacterial SSU rRNA
Rfam family: Bacterial small subunit ribosomal RNA
Source: RNAcentral
UGGCCUUGACAUAGACAGAAUUUAGUAGAGAUAUAAAAGUGCCAGUUUACUGGAGCUGUUAUACAGGUGCUGCACGGCUGUCGUCAGCUCGUGUCGUGAGAUGUUGGGUUAAGUCCCGCAACGAGCGCAACCCACGUCAUUAGUUACUAACGGUUCGGCCGAGGACUCUAAUGAGACUGCCUGGGUAACCAGGAGGAAGGUGAGGACGACGUCAAGUCAUCAUGGCCCUUACGGCCAGGGCUACACACGUGCUACAAUGGGGUAUACAAAGAGCCGCGAUACCGUGAGGUGGAGCAAAUCUCAUAAAAUAUCUCCCAGUUCGGAUUGAAGUCUGCAACUCGACUUCAUGAAGUUGGAAUCGCUAGUAAUCGUAGAUCAGCAAUGCUACGGUGAAUACGUUCCCGGGUCU